Molecule: RNA transcript, 2143 nt
Organism: Larimichthys crocea (large yellow croaker)
Lineage: Eukaryota; Metazoa; Chordata; Actinopteri; Sciaenidae
Gene name: charged multivesicular body protein 1b-2
Exons: 9
Source: RefSeq, a predicted model, not a curated record
GCGUGUUAGUUAAGGCAAACACCGCCUUAAUUUUCAUCGUUUUAUAAGCGAUUUACACGUUUUGUCACUUGAAUAGAUAAUAAAAAACACUGAAUAAGGAUUUAGCGACAAUUACGAGUAAGUCGUUUUCACUCCGAGACAAACACGAAACUGCAAACUCCGAUUAACUGAUUUAAAGCAAAGCCGGAAGUACUCGGACGUUAAGCCUCUCGCUUUUUUUUGUGACGAACGUGCGCUAGCUUGGAUGAGAAAUCAAAACAAACGUUUGUGAGUGGCUGGAUGCUACUUUUGUAUCUGUGUAUAAUAACCAGGCUGAGUCACCUGAGAGCUUAAUCAUGUCGUCGAACAUGGAGAAACACUUGUUCAACCUCAAGUUUGCUGCCAAGGAGCUACAGCGAAACUCCAAGAAAUGUGACAAAGAGGAGAGGGCAGAAAAGGCCAAAGUGAAGCAGGCUAUCCAGAAGGGUAACAUGGAGGCAGCAAAGAUCCAUGCCGAGAAUGCCAUCCGUCAGAAGCAUCAGUCCAUUAACUUCUUGAGGAUGAGCGCACGUGUGGAUGCCGUGGCUUCGAGGGUCCAGACUGCUGUCACUAUGAAUAAGGUUUCCAAAUCUAUGUCUGGAGUGGUCAAGUCGAUGGAUGCUACACUGAAAAGCAUGAACCUGGAGAAGAUCUCCGCAUUAAUGGACAAGUUUGAAAACCAGUUUGAAACUCUUGAUGUGCAGACAGCUCAGAUGGAAGACACAAUGGGCAACACCACAACUCUGACAACACCUCAGAAUGAAGUGGAUUCACUCUUGCAUGAGAUGGCUGAUGAAGCAGGGUUGGAUCUUAACCUGGAGCUUCCUUCGGGCCAGACUUCAUCGCUUGCUGCAUCUGUGGCAUCAACAGAGCAGGACGAGCUCUCGCAGAGGUUGGCCAGGCUGCGAGACCAGGUGUCAUAAUGAUGCAGAAAGAUGACGUCAGGAGGAGUGACGAGAGCAAGAGAAGCAAGAAGAGACAGGGAGUGAAAAAAUAAACAAAAAAGAAAGGGAACAGAUGAGAGGUCAAAGGUGUCACCUGUAGAGGAAGCGGCCUUCUGCCGCUCGCAUGCCAGCGCCUCAUUACAUACACACACACACACAAACACACACAGAACGCACCAUAUCCCAGAGGGCCAGGCAAGAGUCAGCUGGGAGCCAUUACAGGUGCUGUCCAAACACACACAAGUAUCUAUACGUGAACACACCCGCAGCCCCGUAAGCUGAUGGGAGUCUUUCAGAGUGACACGCGGCCACCUCUGACCCUUUUUGUGUCCUUCCUAAUCAUCAUCAGCACACACUUAACUACAUUCACAAUCAUCAUCACUACCCCCAGACUGACACAAGUCUCUAUUUUGCCUAUUACGCACAUACGUCUUCGAGCACUCAGACGUCGGAGUUGUCCAAAAGAACACUGACCCCAGUGAUCCAGCAGCUGUCAGUCAUUUCUGCCAGGAGUUAGAUCACCUGAAAUUAAAAUUCCAUGUCCCUCUGCUGUCAGAGCCACAAAAUCUAUUUGGUAAGUUUAGUUUUAAAUCUAUUUUAACCCUCAGUGGCCAUCUCUUUAAGUAUGAUUAAAGCCGGGAGAGUCUUAAAGAGGCCUAUUUUUCUCUCUGACUUUGUCCAUCUCAGCAUAUGUGCAGGGAUGCUUCUUCCAGAUGUGCUGGAGACAGCUCCUGUAUGAGCAGUGCUCUGGAGGGGAGAGAGGGAUCUUAUGUUUGUAUAUCUGUGUGUCAGGUGUUGAUACCUAGUAGCUUUUCUUCUCCACUCCUCGAGGAGUGGUACUUGCUGACAGGCAGGGAUCCGGUGGGCCGGUGGUCCUAUCCCCGUGGCGACCUGUCUGCUUCUGGCGAGAGCUCGGGGAGAGCUGCUCAGAGCCACACACACACACACCAGCUUGAUGAAAGAGCUCUAAUUACAUCAAGGGGGGCUGGUUAGACUAUAACAUGAAUCACUCACAGGAUAUGUAACAGUCCAGACAUUUAGUCAUGAGCUGGGAUAAAGCUCAAUGUUUUAUCUUGAGAGUAAAAUUUAAACACUGUUAUACAGGUAUGCAAUUAUUUCAUUAUUUCAUCAUCAGUUCCAAGAGGUUUUCUGGAAACAACUGCUUCACUGAAGGCUUACAG